GGAUUCCCCUAGUAACUGCGAGUGAAGCGGGAAAAGCUCAAAUUUAAAAUCUGGCGGUCUUUGGCCCGUCCGAGUUGUAGUCUGGAGAAGUGUUUUCCGGGCUGGACCGUGUACAAGUCUCUUGGAACAGAGCGUCAUAGAGGGUGAGAAUCCCGUCUUUGACACGGACUACCAGUGCUUUGUGAUGCGCUCUCAAAGAGUCGAGUUGUUUGGGAAUGCAGCUCAAAAUGGGUGGUAAAUUCCAUCUAAAGCUAAAUAUUGGCGAGAGACCGAUAGCGAACAAGUACCCGUGAGGGAAAGAUGAAAAGCACUUUGGAAAGAGAGUUAAACAGUACGUGAAAUUGCUGAAAGGGAAACGCUUGAAGUCAGUCGCGUUGAUCAGAACUCAGCCUUGCUUUUGCUUGGUGCAUUUUCUGGUUGACGGGCCAGCAUCGAUUUUGACCAUCGGAGAAAAGCCCAGGGAAUGUGGCACCUUCGGGUGUGUAAUAGCCUUUGGUCACAUACGGUGUUUGGGAUCGAGGACCGCAGCACGCCUUAUGGCCGGGUUCGCCCACGUUUCGUGCUUAGGAUGCUGGCGUAAUGGCUUUAAACGGACCCGUUCUUGAAACACGGGACCAAGGAUUCUAACAUGCCUGCGAGUGUUUGGGUGGAAAACCCGAGCGCGUAAUGAAAGUGAAAGUUGAGAUCCCUGUCGUGGGGAGCAUCGACGCCCGGACCUGAACUUCGGUGAUGGCUCUGCGGUAGAGCAUGUAUGUUGGGACCCGAAAGAUGGUGAACUAUGCCUGAAUAGGGUGAAGCCAGAGGAAACUCUGGUGGAGGCUCGUAGCGAUUCUGACGUGCAAAUCGAUCGUCAAAUUUGGGUAUAGGGGCGAAAG
This 875-nucleotide ribosomal RNA is filed under the name Fomitopsis quercina. RNAcentral's name for it is "eukaryotic LSU rRNA". It matches the Rfam family "Eukaryotic large subunit ribosomal RNA", at positions 72 to 929 of the family's 3401-position model. Lineage: Eukaryota; Fungi; Basidiomycota; Agaricomycetes; Polyporales; Fomitopsidaceae. The record is from RNAcentral.